ACGCAGCGAAAUGCGAUAAGUAAUGUGAAUUGCAGAAUUCAGUGAAUCAUCGAAUCUUUGAAUGCAUCUUGCGCUCCUUGGUAUUCCGAGGAGCAUGCCUGUUUGAGUGUCAUUA
This 115-nucleotide ribosomal RNA is filed under the name Inocybe aff. antillana BZ4124. RNAcentral's name for it is "partial 5.8S ribosomal RNA". It matches the Rfam family "5.8S ribosomal RNA", at positions 43 to 154 of the family's 154-position model. Rfam says of the family: 5.8S ribosomal RNA (5.8S rRNA) is a component of the large subunit of the eukaryotic ribosome. It is transcribed by RNA polymerase I as part of the 45S precursor that also contains 18S and 28S rRNA. The record is from RNAcentral. Lineage: Eukaryota; Fungi; Basidiomycota; Agaricomycetes; Agaricales; Inocybaceae.